CCUAAAACGGCUGGAGUCAUAUUCUAACUCAUUCCUAUCAACUUUCAUCUCAAUUUUAAUCCUUGGCUGAGUUGGAUUAUAUCAUUUCUGGGUUUUCUUCUUUUGAUCGUUCAAGAGACCCGUCAACUGCUCGUGCUUCGGAGUCUACGCAGGGUUAGCUGUUUGCCAAGAUUCACGUGGAUAGCAAGCAGUGAGUUUGUAGUGCUAUUUACCGCUUUAUUAAGUACCGCAAUUUAUUUUAGUAUUAUAAAUUCUUUUGAACUGUUUUAAGCGAUUACGGAUCUGGAUUGAAACGAGCUACUCGAUAGGCUUGUAUCGAGACUGUGUGCACCGGUAAGUACUCUGGGAUCGGCAGACUAAUGUCUUGCUUACGCUGGUAUAUGACGAGGAUAUGUUCCCGUCCACUCUGGGUUUAUCAGUAUGCUAUGUCAUACUUACGCUGGAAUCAUUUCAAUACUGUUUUCCAUAAUCAUACUAUAUUAGUAUAAAAUGUUUUGAU
Molecule: long non-coding RNA, 499 nt
Organism: Mercurialis annua (annual mercury)
Lineage: Eukaryota; Viridiplantae; Streptophyta; Magnoliopsida; Malpighiales; Euphorbiaceae
Exons: 3
Source: RefSeq, a predicted model, not a curated record